Molecule: ribosomal RNA, 493 nt
Filed under: uncultured bacterium
Lineage: Bacteria
Description: bacterial SSU rRNA
Rfam family: Bacterial small subunit ribosomal RNA
Source: RNAcentral
AUUGAACGCUGGCGGAAUGCUUUACACAUGCAAGUCGAACGGCAGCACGGGGCAACCUGGUGGCGAGUGGCGAACGGGUGAGUAAUACAUCGGAACGUGCCCAAUCGUGGGGGAUAACGUAGCGAAAGUUACGCUAAUACCGCAUACGAUCUACGGAUGAAAGCGGGGGAUCGCAAGACCUCGCGCGAGUGGAGCGGCCGAUGUCAGAUUAGGUAGUUGGUGGGGUAAAGGCUCACCAAGCCAACGAUCUGUAGCUGGUCUGAGAGGACGACCAGCCACACUGGAACUGAGACACGGUCCAGACUCCUACGGGAGGCAGCAGUGGGGAAUUUUGGACAAUGGGCGCAAGCCUGAUCCAGCCAUUCCGCGUGCAGGAUGAAGGCCUCGGUGUAACUGCUUUGUACGACGAACGGCGAGCUCUAAUACAGUUGCUAAUGACGGUACCGUAACGAAUAAGACACGGCUAACUACGUGCCAGCAGCCGCGGUAAAAC